CAAGGUUAGGGUUUCACAAAGC
RNAcentral lists this non-coding RNA (22 nucleotides) under Arabidopsis thaliana (thale cress). Lineage: Eukaryota; Viridiplantae; Streptophyta; Magnoliopsida; Brassicales; Brassicaceae. The record is from RNAcentral.